CCGGCGACCGGCGCACGGGUGAGUAACACGUAUGCAACCUGGCCGCCACAGGGGGAUAACCCGCGGAAACGCGGCCUAAUACCCCGUGACGCCACCGGAGGGCAUCCUCCGGGUGGCCAAAGGAGCGAUCCGGUGGCGGAUGGGCAUGCGGCGCAUUAGCUAGACGGCGGGGUGACGGCCCACCGUGGCGACGAUGCGUAGGGGUUCUGAGAGGAAGGCCCCCACACUGGGACUGAGACACGGCCCAGACUCCUACGGGAGGCAGCAG
RNAcentral lists this ribosomal RNA (268 nucleotides) under uncultured bacterium. Its description in RNAcentral is "partial 16S ribosomal RNA". It matches the Rfam family "Bacterial small subunit ribosomal RNA", at positions 88 to 354 of the family's 1533-position model. The record is from RNAcentral.